CCUUGCUUCCCUGCUGCUACUGCUGCUGCUGCUAAGUCACUUCAGUUGUGUCUGACUCUGUGCGACCCUGUAGACGGCAGUCCACCAGGCUCCCCUAUUCCUGGGAUUCUCCAGGCAAGAACACUGGAGUGGGUUGCCAUUUCCUUCUCCAAUGCAUGAAAGUGAAAAGUGAAAGUGAAGUCGCUCAGUCGAGUCCGACUCUUCGGACCCCAUGGACUGCAGCCUACCAGGUUCCUCCGUCCAUGGGAUUCUCCAGGCAAGAGUACUGGAGUGGGGUGCCAUUGCCUUCUCUGCUGCUUCCCUGACCUCUCCCCAAAUCUGCAAAUUGAAGUCCAAAUCCUAAGCCUUUUCCUGGAUGCCCCACAGUUGGUGUGUGUUCUUCUCCUUGAUGAAAUGAGUUCACAAACCCAAUUCUGUUUGACUGUAAGUGUCUGCUGGUAGUCUUCGGCUGGAGGGCACUGACAAUCAAGAAAAAACAUACAAGUAUACUUGCAAACUGCCCCACCCCCUGAAUCAUCUGCUUCAGCUGGUUACAUUGAUUCUUCAGUCCUUGGGCGAGCUGAGAAUUUUCCUGCAUCUCUCCUCUCCGGUAACCGCUUUGGACUUCCCUGGUGGCUCAGUGGUAAAGAAUCUACCUGCCAAUGCAGGAGACAUGGUUCCAGCCCCGGUCUGGAAAGAUCCUACAUGCCGAGGAGCAGCUGAGCCCGUGACCACAACUACCGACCCUGUGCUCUAGAGCCCGUGCUCUGACACGAGGGAAGCCACUGCAAUAAGAAGCCUGCUCAUCGCAACUAGAGAGCAGCCCGCACAGCAACAGAGACCCAGCACAGCCAAAAAUAAAUAAAUAAAUAAAAUGUCAGAAAAAGUAACAGCUUUAUCAAGAUUUAAUUCACAUACCAUACAACUCACCAAUUUAAACAAUUCAGUGGUUUUUAGUAUAUUCACAGAGUUGUACAACCAUCACCAUAAUCAAGUUUAGAAGAGUUUUGUCACCUCAGAAAGAAACCUCACACCUAUUGGCAGACAUUCUACAUUCCCCCACAGCUUUUACAGCCCUGCUGCUGCUGCGUCGCUUCAGUCGUGUCCGACUCUGCGACCCCAUAAACGGCAGCCAACCAGGCUUCCCGUCCCUGGGAUUCUCCAGGCAAGAACACUGGAGUGGGCUGCCAUUUCCUUCUCCAAGUCCUAGACAACUACUAAUCUCCUUUCUGUGUCUUUGGAUUUGUUUUGGAUGCUUCAUACAAGUGAAAUCAUAUAAUAUAUGGCCUUUUGUGACUAGCUUCUUUCACCUUAGGAUAAUGUUUUCAAGUAUAACCUUGUUUUAAAUUUUCCUGCUCUUAUAGGAGGGCUUCCUUGGUGGUUCAGUGGUAAAGAAUCUGCCUGCCAGUGCAGGAG
Molecule: long non-coding RNA, 1395 nt
Organism: Bos taurus (domestic cattle)
Lineage: Eukaryota; Metazoa; Chordata; Mammalia; Artiodactyla; Bovidae
Source: Ensembl